Molecule: RNA transcript, 4088 nt
Organism: Cynara cardunculus var. scolymus (artichoke)
Lineage: Eukaryota; Viridiplantae; Streptophyta; Magnoliopsida; Asterales; Asteraceae
Gene name: protein NRDE2 homolog
Exons: 12
Source: RefSeq, a predicted model, not a curated record
ACAAUUUCUGGUUGGAUUCUAAUCUGUUCGUGGUUUGUAGCCGUUGAAAUUGUGCUAUUCAAUUCGAUCGUCUUCGCAAUCGAGAUGAAUGGAGGGCACGGAUACAUCGAGUUAGGGCAUGAGCACAUUUAAUUACAAUAGAAAACCUCGAAAGACAAGAAAUCAGGAACAACAAUGGCGGAUGAAUCGCCGGUAGGAGAAGAGCCGCUCCAACCAACGACAACAUUGUUUCCUGUCUUCAACCAAAAACCCUCAACACCGUCCGACCCAAUAAAUCUUCUUCAACUCUCCAAAUCCGAUGCACCUGAUUGGCUCAGCAACACCAGCUUCACCGCCGACCUCUCAACCAUCAACACCGUCGUAUCCUCUCGCCACGACCAUUGUAGUGAACCCGAAGAAGAAGAAGAACAAGAAGCAGCAGCAAAACAAGAAGAAAGGCGGCCGGGGGCUGGUUACGAGUUGGUGGACUCAUCAGUAUCGGAUCAGGACCUUGACGAGAGUAGCCGGAGUAGCAACAAGAAGGAGAAACGGAAACGUAGAAAGAGGAAGAAGGGAGCGCACAGUGAUCACGAAUAUGGACCUUCAUCUAGGAAGCAGAACAUUCAAUCUUGGGCAAAUAAUGCGUCCAAUUCAUCUGCAAAUAAAGAAUAUUACUUCGAUUCUCGCGGUGAUCGUGAUAAUUUGGCUUUUGGUUCUCUUUACAGAAUGGAUGUUGCGCGUUACAAAUUAUUUGACGGAAGCAAGUCUUCUGGGUUUAACUACGAUGCAUACCGAUGUCAGAAUAUGAGGAAUUUGGAGUUUGAUAGGGAUACCGAUGUAAAUGCAUUAGAAAGCAAACUUAGGUCCGAAGGUCGUUACUGGUCUGCUAAGUAUGCUGCAUUGGAGCACCAUAAGAACUUUAAGCGGUUUAGAAUUGUUGCUCCUAAAGAAUCAGCCUCAGAAAUUGGUGCUGAUUUCAUACCAUUGCCAGAUGAGCCAACUUCUUCUGAUGGUCAACAAAGAGAUUCAUCAGUAGUUGAGGAAUCAUGGGAAGAUGAGGUGUUACGUAAGACAAAGGAGUUCAAUAAAAUGACUAGGGAGCAGCCAUAUAAUGAAAAGAUUUGGUUAGAAUUUGCCAACUUCCAAGAUAAGGUUGAAAGCAGGCAGCCACAAAGAGGUGCUCGUUUACAAACACUGGAGAAGAAGAUCAGCAUAUUGGAGAAGGCAGCGGAGCUCAAUCCCAAUAAUGAGGAAUUGCUUCUAGCUCUUAUGAAUGCAUAUCAAAGAAGAGACAAUAAUGAGGUCUUGAUUGGUAGAUGGGAGAAGCUACUUACGCAUCAUUCAGGGAGUUACAAGCUGUGGAGGGAGUUUCUGCAUCUUGUCGAGGGGGAUUUUUCCAGAUUCAAGGUUUCCGAAGUAAGGAAGAUGUUUGCCAAUGCGAUACAGGCUUUGUCAGCUGAAUGCAGCAAGCAGCAUAGGCAGGUUCUCCAGAAUGUUAAAUCCUCUGCUGACCCUCUUCUGGUCCAACAAGAACUUGGAUUGGUUAAUAUAUUUGUCAGUUUAUGCCGGUUCGAGUGGCAGGCUGGCUAUCAAGAAUUGGGUACAGCUUUAUUUCAGGCGGAGAUAGAAUACAGUUUGUUCUGCCCAUCUUUACUUCUUUCUGAGCAGGGUAAACACAGACUAUUUGAGUACUUCUGGAAUAGUAAUGGUGCAAGAAUUGGAGAGUAUGGAGCUCUUGGCUGGUCAACUUGGCUGGAAAAAGAGGAAGAACAACGUCAAAAGGUGAUGAUGAAGGAGUCUUCCACUACUGCAGAUGAAGGGGGCUGGACAGGGUGGCAUGAACCUAAAAGUGCAGGUGCUGCUGAACGUCAAGACAAUGUAUCUGUCGAUGAUGUGGGUAUCGAAGGUUCUGAUGAUGAACCUAACACAGAUGAUAUGGAACAGAAAGAUGAUACUGAGGCUCUGAUGAAGUUGCUCGGUAUCAAUGCUGAUACUGAAGCUAAUGGUGAGGUCCAGGACGUUUCAACUUGGGUUAGAUGGUCAGAAGAAGAGUUAUCAAGAGACUCUGAUCAAUGGAUGCCCGUUCGCCCAGAAUCUGAUGGACUCACAGAUAAAGAAGGUGAUGAACAACUUCUGAGAGCAGUAUUAUUUGAGGAUGUCAGUGAGUACUUGUUCUCAAUAACUACAGAUGAAGUCCGUUUAUCAUUGGUGUACCAGUUCAUUGAUUUCUUUGGCGGAAGAAUUCCUCAAUGGUCUUCAACCAACAGUCCAAGUUGCACUGAGGGAACACUUAUGAUGGAGUCACUGCCAGAUUCUAUGUUGGAUGACUUGAGAAAAGUUCAGGAGAUGUUGAGAAAAACAGAUGGCUGUCAGAGCAGUAACAUCAUAGAAGAUAUUCUGAGCAGUUCCGAUAACAUAAAUAUGAGGAGUGAGAUGAUGAAGUUUGUUCGAAAUGUUGCCUUACAAUGUUUAAAUGCAUUUCCACAUGAUCACAUUUUAAAAGAAGUUGCACUUGUUGCUGAAGAGCUAUCAAAUACAAGGAUGAACUCUUGUAGCUCUGCAAUCACACCGUGUCGGACAUUGGCGAAGAAUCUCAUAAAAAGCAACCGUCAGGAUGUACAUCUAUGUGGCGUUUAUGCGAGAAGGGAGGCUGCAUUUGGGAACGUAGAAUAUGCAAGAAAGGCAUUCGACAUGGCAUUGUUAUCUAUUGAAGGGCUUCCUUGGGAUGCUAAAUCAAAUGCGUCACUUUUAUUUCUUUGGUAUGCGGAAGUGGAGCUUGCAAGUAGUUAUUCUGGCAGCUCAGAAUCAUUACCACGUGCAUUGCACAUUCUUUCUUGCUUGGGAUGUGGGAUAAAGUAUAGUCCAUAUAAAAGUCAACCAUCAAGUUUGCAACUACUGAGGGCACGCCAAGGAUUCAAAGAACAAAUAAGGAUGAUACAGACAACGUGGAUACGUGGGACUAUAGAUGAUAAUUCUGUUGCUUCUGUUUGUUCUGCUGCUUUAUUCGAAGAGCUGACUACUGGACGGGAAGCUAGUAUGGAAGUUCUCAAUCAGGCUCUUUCCACAGUGCUUCCAGAAAAAAGAAGUCAAAUUCAUCAACUUGAAUUAUUAUUCAACUUUUAUGUGCGCCUGCUCUGGAAGCAUCGUUCUCAAUCAGAACUAGCAAACGUUUGGAAUUUUGUUGUGCAAGGGUUGCAGAUAUAUCCAUUCAGCCCUAAACUUCACAAUGCAAUUGUUCAAAUUGGACAUCUUCAUACAUCACCCAGUAAGCUGCGAUGGAUCAUUGACGACUACUUAGACAAGAAACCAUCUGUAACACUUUGUCUCUUUGCAUUGUCAUAUGAGAUUACUAGAGGAAGUUCCCAUCAUAGAGUACAUAGAAUCUUUGAAAGGGCAUUGGCUGACAACAUGUUGCGAAAUUCUGUACUUCUCUGGCGUUUGUACAUAUCAUAUGAGAUUCAUGUAGCAAGUGACCUGUCUGCAGCAAGACGAAUUUACUUCCGUGCUAUCCACACAUGCCCAUGGUCAAAAAGGCUAUGGCUUGAUGGUUUCACUAAACUAAGCUCUGUGUUAACUGCAAAAGAGCUCUCAGAUCUCUUGGAAGUUAUGCGUGACAAAGAGCUCAAUGUGAGGACUGAUGUCUAUGAGAUCCUUUUGCAAGAUGAGAUGGAUGUGUCAUAAUGUCAGAUGUAGGGGGAUUUUGUAUAUUUCACGUUAUUGUGGCCUACUUUUGCUACGGUUCUACUUUCUUCAACUCCAAUAUACAGACUCAAGGAGAGGAGGAUUGUAUAUCAUGAUUAUAUGUACAGAACAUGUGCUCGUAUGUGCCAUUGUCAUAGAAAGAAAACACCAGGUGAAGACCGCAAAAAUAAGCUUUUGUGGGGGGCAAUGGUAACUGUUGUAUUCAUCAUUCAAUUGAAGGAAGUGCCUUAAAAGAGCUACCUCAUAGAAGAGACUUUUGUGGACCUUUUUUACAAAACUGAAAAAUGGUCUUCUACCUCCUUCCUUUUCAUUUGAGUAGCUUUGCUUCUAUCUCGAGAAUAACUAGGUGUUGCAUAUAUUGAUAAAGACUUGGGGGCUGUUUACUGAACGGUUACUGACUUUUAUCG